GUUGAAACGCCGUUUUUCUUACGGUCUCCGAAGUUAAGCAAAGUCGGGGUUGGUCAGUACCAAGAUGGGUGAUCGCUUUGGAAUACCAGGAGCUGUAAG
Molecule: non-coding RNA, 99 nt
Organism: Acanthosepion pharaonis
Lineage: Eukaryota; Metazoa; Mollusca; Cephalopoda; Sepiida; Sepiidae
Source: the annotation of a GenBank genome assembly